This 330-nucleotide ribosomal RNA is filed under the name Triticum aestivum (bread wheat). RNAcentral describes it as "partial small subunit ribosomal RNA". The record is from RNAcentral. Lineage: Eukaryota; Viridiplantae; Streptophyta; Magnoliopsida; Poales; Poaceae.
AUGAGUUGGGCGGCAUCUGGCGCCGCAGGGUCAGUGCGCCCUUCGCCGCCCUCCUCGUGGUGUCCGUCCUUGUCCUCGUCGUCUUCACUGGCCGCUUCCUGCAGGGCCCCGACGCUUCCUCGCGAUUCACCCCGGUACAUGUGGACGACUCCACACCCCGGACAGUCUCCUCCACAGACCAAGACUUGGAGACAUCUGAUUCAUCAAAUCAAGAAGGGGAGGGGGGUGACCAAAAAAUUGCUAGUUGUUGGUGAAGUGUCAUUUUCUCACAAUAUAAGACAUCCGGACUCUAUCCUUGGUGGUCGAGCAGCCUUAACUACGGCUGAAUAA